AAUUUUCAGCAAGGAAUCUCUGGCUUCUCCAUCCAAUGAAAACGGCACCGAAUUGCAAUAAGUAUGGUGAAUUGCAAAAUUCAUUGAUUCAUCGAACCUUUGAACGCACCUGGCCUUCCUGGUAAUUCCAAGAAGCAGGCCGGUUGGAUGGCCAUG
Molecule: ribosomal RNA, 156 nt
Filed under: Macrosporia nanlingensis
Lineage: Eukaryota; Fungi; Basidiomycota; Agaricomycetes; Polyporales; Polyporaceae
Description: Perenniporia nanlingensis 5.8S ribosomal RNA
Rfam family: 5.8S ribosomal RNA
About the family: 5.8S ribosomal RNA (5.8S rRNA) is a component of the large subunit of the eukaryotic ribosome.
Source: RNAcentral